Molecule: ribosomal RNA, 495 nt
Filed under: uncultured Glomeromycotina
Lineage: Eukaryota; Fungi; Glomeromycota
Description: partial small subunit ribosomal RNA
Rfam family: Eukaryotic small subunit ribosomal RNA
Source: RNAcentral
CCAAUAGCGUAUAUUAAAGUUGUUGUGGUUAAAAAGCUCGUAGUUGAACCUUGGGCCUGGCUGGCCGGUCCGCCUCACCGCGUGUACUGGUCCGGCCGGGCCUUUCCCUCUGUGGAACCCCAUGCCCUUCACUGGGUGUGGCGGGGAAACAGGACUUUUACUUUGAAAAAAUUAGAGUGCUCCAGGCAGGCCUAUGCUCGAAUACAUUAGCAUGGAAUAAUAGAAUAGGACGUGUGGUUCUAUUUUGUUGGUUUCUAGGACCGCCGUAAUGAUUAAUAGGGACAGUCGGGGGCAUCAGUAUUCAAUUGUCAGAGGUGAAAUUCUUGGAUUUAUUGAAGACUAACUACUGCGAAAGCAUUUGCCAAGGAUGUUUUCAUUAAUCAGGAACGAAAGUUAGGGGAUCGAAGACGAUCAGAUACCGUCGUAGUCUUAACCAUAAACUAUGCCGACUAGGGAUCGGACGAUGUUAUUAUUUGACUCGUUCGGCACCUUACG